Molecule: long non-coding RNA, 467 nt
Filed under: Vigna radiata
Lineage: Eukaryota; Viridiplantae; Streptophyta; Magnoliopsida; Fabales; Fabaceae
Description: long non-coding RNA (VRAD_LNC011441)
Source: RNAcentral
AACAGGCUACAGAUCAAGGACAAGUGCAAUAGAAGUGAGGAAAGGAGGAGAAGAAGGGAAAAGAAAACUCCCCUGAUCAUGGUGGCAGUUGCCAAUUUUGGACUUUCAGGGAGAUCUCUUCCACCACAGGAUUCAACAAGGAAGUCUUGAAGAGAAACUGCUUCAUCCUCCAGAUUUGAUCAAGAAAGGAGAUGUCCUCUACAGCUGGAUCUAAGAAACAGUGACUGUUGAUAAGCAGGUUCAGUUGGUGCCUAUUAAUCUUCAAACUCUCGUGUAUACUGGCACCCUUGUCUUCCACCGUGGGUGUGUGUUGAUCAAAUGCAUGUGUACCUCCUGCAACAUGGUUAGUACAUUGUGGCUUCACAGAAAUAACAUGCAAGGGUAUAUCACCCAAUCUCAGUGUAAGAGGGUGAACCUAAGCUAUACCCUCAGAACAUGAAUCAAUUUCAGAAAUAGAAACAAUAUCA